GUCUAUGUUUUUACAAAGUAUGAGACAACAAAAUCAUCCAGAACAGAUUGCUAGUGGUGACAUUUGUAGCGGUAUUGGGAAUGAAAUUGGUAGCAAUAGAGAUAUCAAUAUUGGUGC
This is a long non-coding RNA of Zingiber officinale, 117 nucleotides long. RefSeq lists it as uncharacterized. The record is from RefSeq and is a predicted model, not a curated record. Lineage: Eukaryota; Viridiplantae; Streptophyta; Magnoliopsida; Zingiberales; Zingiberaceae. The transcript has 2 exons.